AGCAGUCGCCGCGGUAAUACGGAGGGUGCAAGCGUUAAUCGGAAUUACUGGGCGUAAAGCGCACGCAGGCGGUCUGACAAGUCAGAUGUGAAAUCCCCGGGCUUAACCUGGGAACUGCAUUUGAAACUGUCAGGCUGGAGUCUUGUAGAGGGGGGUGGAAUUCCAGGUGUAGCGGUGAAAUGCGUAGAGAUCUGGAGGAAUACCGGUGGCGAAGGCGGCCCCCUGGACAAAGACUGACGCUCAGGUGCGAAAGCGUGGGGAGCAAACAGGAUUAGAUACCCCUGUAGUCCCUGUCUCUUUACA
RNAcentral lists this ribosomal RNA (303 nucleotides) under uncultured bacterium. RNAcentral's name for it is "partial 16S ribosomal RNA". It matches the Rfam family "Bacterial small subunit ribosomal RNA", at positions 507 to 808 of the family's 1533-position model. The record is from RNAcentral.